GGGGAUAUAGCUCAGUUGGUAGAGUGCUUGCCUCUUAUGCACAAAGCCCUGGGUUCAAUUCCCAGCACCA
Molecule: transfer RNA, 70 nt
Filed under: Ictidomys tridecemlineatus (thirteen-lined ground squirrel)
Lineage: Eukaryota; Metazoa; Chordata; Mammalia; Rodentia; Sciuridae
Also listed under: 1 other name
Description: Spermophilus tridecemlineatus (thirteen-lined ground squirrel) tRNA
Rfam family: tRNA
About the family: Transfer RNA (tRNA) molecules are approximately 80 nucleotides in length. Their secondary structure includes four short double-helical elements and three loops (D, anti-codon, and T loops).
Source: Rfam by way of RNAcentral